UACGGAGGGGGCAAGCGUUGUUCGGAAUUACUGGGCGUAAAGGGCGCGCAGGCGGCUGCUCAAGUCAGGCGUGAAAGGCCUGGGCUCAACCCGGGAAUUGCGCUUGAGACUGGGGCUGGCUUGAGUGCGGGAGAGGAUGGUGGAAUUCCCAGUGUAGAGGUGAAAAUUCGUAGAUAUUGGGGAAGAACACCGGUGGCGAAGGCGGCCAUCUGGACCGCAACUGACGCUGAGGCGCGAAAAGCGUGGGGGAGCAAACAGG
Molecule: ribosomal RNA, 259 nt
Filed under: uncultured bacterium
Lineage: Bacteria
Description: partial 16S ribosomal RNA
Rfam family: Bacterial small subunit ribosomal RNA
Source: RNAcentral